This 1346-nucleotide ribosomal RNA is filed under the name marine metagenome. Its description in RNAcentral is "bacterial LSU rRNA". It matches the Rfam family "Bacterial large subunit ribosomal RNA", at positions 890 to 2233 of the family's 2925-position model. The record is from RNAcentral.
UGUUUGACAGAGGUAGAGCUACCAAUAGGACUAGGGGGAGUCAAAUCCUACCAAAUCCUGAUGAACUCCGAAUGCUGUCAAAUUAUCCCGGGAGUGAGGGUCAGGGUGCUAAGGUCCUGAUCCGAGAGGGAAAGAACCCGGACCAUCAGCUAAGGUCCCCAAUUGUAUGUUAAGUUGAACUAAGGCGGUUCAGUUGCUUAGACAGCCAGGAUGUUGGCUUGGAAGCAGCCAUUCAUUUAAAGAGUGCGUAACAGCUCACUGGUCGAGCGACAGAGCAUCGAUAAUGAUCGGGCAUCAAACAUACAACCGAAGCUAUGGUCUUGUCAGUAAUGGCGAGAGGUAGGGGAGCAUUCCAUUUGCGGAGAAGGUGUGGCGUCAGCCAUGUUGGAGCGGAUGGAAAAGCAAAUGUAGGCAUAAGUAACGAUAAUGCUAGUGAGAAACUAGCACACCAAUAGACUAAGGUUUCCUCAGCAAUGCUAAUCAGCUGAGGGUUAGUCAGGGCCUAAGGCGAAGCCGAGAGGCGUAGUCGAUGGACAACAGGUUAAUAUUCCUGUACUACCUUAUAGAGUGAAGGGGUGACGGAGUAGUGAAAGUCCCGCGUACUGACGGAAUAGUACGUUGAAGGGUGUAGGUAUUGGAUGUGUAGGUAAAUCCGCACAACUAGCCGAACCUGAUAGUACCACAACGCUUCGGCAGCGUGGAUAGUGGACCUAAUCAGACUUCCAAGAAAACCCUCUAAACAUAUGUAUAAGGUACCUGUACCGCAAACCGACACAGGUAGUCAAGGAGAGAAUCCUAAGGUGCUCGAGUGAUCCGUGGCUAAGGAACUAGGCAAAAUGGCCCUGUAACUUCGGGAGAAGGGGCGCUCCGUUAGUGAUAACGGAGCCGCAGUGAAGAGGCCCAGGCGACUGUUUAACAAAAACACAUGGCUUUGCGAAAUCGAAAGAUGAAGUAUAAGGCCUGACACCUGCCCGGUGCUGGAAGGUUAAGGGGGGACGUUAGUCAGCAAUGGCGAAGCGUUGAACUGAAGCCCCAGUAAACGGCGGCCGUAACUAUAACGGUCCUAAGGUAGCGAAAUUCCUUGUCGGGUAAGUUCCGACCUGCACGAAUGGUGUAACGAUCUGGGCACUGUCUCGGCCACGAGCUCGGUGAAAUUGUAGUAGCGGUGAAGAUGCCGCUUACCCGCAACGGGACGAAAAGACCCCAUGAACCUUUACUAUAGCUUCACAUUGACAUUGGGUAAAAUAUGUGUAGGAUAGGUGGGAGACUUCGAAGCUGUGUCGCCAGGCAUGGUGGAGUCGUUGUUGAAAUACCACCCUUAUUUUAUCUGAUGCCUAAUCCCGCCU